Chrysemys picta bellii (western painted turtle) is the source of this 2401-nucleotide long non-coding RNA. RefSeq lists it as uncharacterized. The record is from RefSeq and is a predicted model, not a curated record. NCBI's taxonomy places the organism in Eukaryota, Metazoa, Chordata, Testudines, Emydidae.
GUUGAACACAGCCAGAUCAGUUUCAUCUUCAUUCAGUAAAGGGUGUGUAGGGGUUGGGGAGGGGGAGGAUAUCAAUGUUUGCCAAAUAGAAAAGGUCAAAUCUGGAAGGAAUUUUUUUUCUAGGUAAGUAAUACACAGAAGGGAGAGUAAAAUAACUGACACAGCUGGAAGGGGGAACCACCUUUCACACACCGAUUCUGGAGGUACCUGGUGUUUGGUUUCCAGGGUAGUUUAUUGUAGGCAGAGAACUGCAUUUAUGCUCAGCUAAAACAGUUCCUAAGAGCCAUUUUUACAGACAAAAACAGCCAGAUGCUUUGGUGCUCUGACCAUGUCCCCUCUUCCCUGGAACGCUCCCAGAACAACUUACAGCAGUGUCUGUGAGGGAAGUGCAGCAGCGCUAUGCCACUCAAGGAAUGCCCUUAACUGAGGCUAUUACCCAGGAACCAAUUCCAACCGGCUCUGCAGCCACCCUUUUAUGUCACAAGAACUAGCAAAAAGGGAUUGAGAUUAUUUGACUUCUACAAACUGGAGUUGGGUUGUCCAGGCUAUGCAGCUGCACAGAGCCGUUCUGCUGCAUGGAAGCGGGCGCAUUAUUUGUGGAGUCUGCGCAGGGGGUACACAUCUCUUGUGUGCAGUCCAGAUCUAUGGUGGCUUCCUGUGUGCCAAACAGUGUGGGCUAUAACCUGGGGUCAGGAUUUGGAGGAAGCAACUUGUACAUCCACUGGCAUCUUCGGUGGAGCACGCUCUUAUGCAGUAUGGGGACUGUCAGUGGGAUCACUGGCCUCUUAAAAUUGUCUAUGGAAAAUUAGGCAAUUCUUCAUCACAUACUGAGGCACAUACUGCUACCACCAGUGCCAAUCCCUCUGCAAAAGAGUCAAAAUGGCUUCUGCUAACUCUCUUGAUUGCAUGGAGCAGAUACAUACAGGAAAGAAAACCAAUAUUAUUUGACUUGUGACCAAUCUCAACCAACCAAUCCUGCUCAAAAUGUAAAAUUAUAUCAGGAAAAUUGUAUGAAGUGUUUUUGAAGUUCUAACAACAAAAUGUUUAACAUGUGGAUUUUAAAAAAUUUGCUUCCAUCUCACUAAAGUUUUGAACUUUGAAAAAGAGCAUUGUUAUUUAAAACAUACCCCCUACACCCCAUCAAUCAAUAAUCUUUCCAGCUCUCGUUGAGACAAUUCUGAGCUGAAAAGACCUUGGGUAAGGCGUCUCAGAGUGGAUCCCAUCCUUCAACCCAAUAGCUCUGGUGUUACUAAGAUCUUUGUUUCUUGCAGCAUACAGAAAACAACUUUUUCAGAUUCUAGGAUGUAUCUUAGAGCUCAGUCCCCUCCCAAGUUGUAACAUAGCUUUAAACUCAUGAUUCUGAGAAGAAUGCUUCUGUGGCUGAUUCGGUGUAAUUUGUGUAGUGACAGAUUUUCAAAGUGGAAAAAAUUAAUUUAGCAGUCUGGAAAACAAGGCCCUCUUGGGCAAAAAGAGGAUGGUUGGAACAGUCACACACUCCUGUUUACUGUCUAAAACAUUGUGUAGUACAAAUAGGGGGAUCAAGGGAAAUUAAAGUUGCCACCCAUCAGGAUUUCCCCUGAAGAGACCAACUGUUAAAUAUUAUUAGGAAAACAACAUUAAAUAUAUCCCUAUAAAAUGUGUAGCUCUAAUUUUUAGAUUUUUAAUUGUUAGUGAGUACUAUUCAGUUUUGGCUUCUUGUUUUCCUAAGAGUUAAAACCUCCACAUGAAUGUAUAGCUUAGCCACUUGCCAAAUUCCAGUACAAACUUACUGGAAAUUCCAGUAAACUCCAUUAGAAUCCUUCAAACUGAUUCCUGAUGGUUUCUACAGGGGACCAGUAGCUCUAAGAACCAAAAGAUCUGUUGUUCUUUUUCAAAAUCUUGUUACCAGCUGGAACUAUAAUGACCUAAUUGAAAAAUUCUAACUGGGAGGUCCACCACAGGAAGAUUUUCAGGAAAUAUAUUUGUUUUAAUAAAAUUGUUUUGAAACAAUAGUGUUUGAGUAUCCUUGGAAGACAACGACAGGAUAAAAAGGUAUCUGUGUAUUCCUGGUGGCAAUUCCAGUUGGAAACAGAAAAACAGCUAUAUUAGUCUACUGCAGUGGUUCUCAACCUAUUCACCAUUGUGGGUCGCAUAUGCAGCUCUCUAUUAGUUAUGUGGACUGCAUCCACAUAAUAUAUAUAGUACCUGUAUGGCCCUGAGGAUGUCACAUGGGCUGCAGCUGUAUGCUGAUUGGGCCACAAGUGGCCCGUGGGUUGAGAACCACUGGUCUACUCGUUCCUGGGAUAUUAUACUCUAAAUGAAACCAAGUGAUGCCAGCAGAGACCAUUUGAAGGUAGAGCAGGAUUAAGGCAAUCUGGGCCAUAGACAUUCCAGGACAUAGGGCCUCACCUGAGUCUUGUCC